Molecule: transfer RNA, 62 nt
Filed under: Ectopsocopsis cryptomeriae
Lineage: Eukaryota; Metazoa; Arthropoda; Insecta; Psocodea; Ectopsocidae
Description: tRNA-Leu
Source: RNAcentral
AUCAUUUUGGCAGAUUAGUGCAUUGAAUUUAGAAUUCAAAUAAGUAUAUUUUACAUAUGAUA